This 382-nucleotide long non-coding RNA is filed under the name Phoenix dactylifera (date palm). RNAcentral describes it as "long non-coding RNA (PDAC_LNC014379)". The record is from RNAcentral. Lineage: Eukaryota; Viridiplantae; Streptophyta; Magnoliopsida; Arecales; Arecaceae.
CAGUUUCAAAAUAACUCAAACCACCACACUUCCGCUGCGCACUCUGAUUUAAUCCAUUAAAUACUCUAAAGCCUCUAAAUGAUUUAUGACUGAUAUAUCGCUUUGCACUAGGAGUAAGAAAAUCCAAAUUUCAAAACUUUAAUUGAGCAGAACCUCCAGAUCUCUCUGUCCUCAAUUUAUGUAAACUAACCAUAACUAGCACUCAAGCCAUUAAUCAUGUUUAAGGUCACUACAUGAUCUUCACAACCAUUUUAAAAUCCAAAAUAUCUAGGUUUAAUUUAAAAUAAAUAAACCAUGAAUUUCCUCCGCAAUUCGAUUAGACAAUCUACGUUGAUCUUCUUUCCAAAAAGAUUUACUUCAAAUUCAAUGGGUUAAAAGCCAU